UCCUGUUUCCGUGUUCAUAUCACAAGGAUGGAGCAAUAGAUAAGGUUCGGAAGCUACUGGAGAUGCUUUUAGAAAAUGGACUUAAACCUGAUAUCUUCACUUUUAGCUCAAUAAUUGAUGGACUCUGUCGAAUAAAGAGGACUGAGGAAGCUUUUGAAUGCUUUACUGAGAUGAUUGAGUGGGGCAUCAAUCCAAAUGCUGCCAUUUACAAUAUCUUGAUUCGAUCUUUAUCCACCAUCAGGGAUGUUGCAAGGUCAGUGAAACUUUUAAGAAGAAUGCAAAAGGAAGGAAUAAGCCCUGAUACCUACUCCUAUAAUGCUUUGAUUCAAAUCUUCUGUAGGAUGAAUAAAGUUGAGAAAGCCAAUAAGCUUUUUGAUUCAAUGCCAAGAUCUGGCUUGAAUCCAGACAAUUAAUUACACUUACAGUGCUUUUAUAGAGGCACUGUCUGCAUCUGGGAGAUUAGAGGAAGCCAACAAGAUGUUUUACUCGAUGGAGGCAAAUGGUUGCUCUCCCGACUCAUAUAUAUGUAACCUAAUUAUCAAAAUAUUGAUUCUACAGGACUACGUUGAAGCGGCUUAAAACAUCAUAGGAAGGUGCAGACAGAAGGGAAUAUCUUUGAAUUCUAUUCCUAAUUUGUAGACUAGUUGUCUGCUAAUUUUUAGGAUGAUGCUACAUUAUUGAGGUUUUGAAAGUGAAGAUAUCGGUUCAGGGUACAGGUAUGCUAGAUUAUAAAGUUCUGUUGAUAUUGAGAUCUUGUUAUAUGGUGGGACACGGAUUAUUUAUGCACAUGUAUGCAUGUAAUUUUCCCCAUUUCAACACAAAAAUAAAGAAUACAAUUAGAAAUUUACUUUCUCCUUAUUAGUUGAUCACUCUCCUUUCAUCAUCAUCAUCCUUAGCGGUUUGGAUGGUGGCAGCUUGGUUAACAUGUUAUACCAUGCUUCAACUGUUGCUGUGGUUAACUUACAAAUUGUGCUGUUUUUCUGGAAUCAGCAGAAAAUGCCUUUUUCCAUCAUUGUCUCCAUUAAUGGAGUAACAUCGAUCUCUUUACAAGCACUGCGGUCGGCUAAUGACAACCAGAGCUCCAUCUUGCAUAGCUACCCAUCCUGCGUGUGGAAGAACACGAAUUUGGUGGCAGUCUCAUGACAGGACAACCUGAGAUAUCUAAGUUUUGUGGCCAUGGGCCCCUGGCAGUCUCUUAUGAUGGACAUUAAUCUUCUGCAAUAAAGAAGCUUGGCAUAAAAGGACUUCUAAUUUCCCAGAGAGCGUUUCAGUGAAAUCAUGCAGCCAAGCUCUAUGUUGAAUCACGAUAUUAUUUUAAACAUGAAAUCUGCUGAACUGGAGAUUGAGUAUGGCAGGUUUCUUAAUUGGCUGAAUGAUUCAACUCCUUUCUCAAUUUUGUUGCAAAUAUAAUAGCUAUAUGGACCCUGAAAGCUUUAAUAGGCAAUAUUUGAGUUGAGGUGGUCAUGACGUGACUUGCCAUCCUAGUUCAAUAAGACAUUGAUUAACACUUUUGGAAAGGUUACGGCAGCACUAGCAAAAAAAGCAUUGUCACAUCGACUGUCGUUACAAGGGAUUUUGGAUUUCAAUCAUAAUGCAAGUUGGUUUUAAUCCUUCUAUACAGGAUGAUUGAUGAAUAAAGUUGAGAAAGCUAAAAAGCUUUUUGAUUCAAUGUCAAGAUCUGGCUUGAAUCCGGACAAUUACACUUACAAUGCUUUAUGGAGGCACUGUCUGAAUCUGGGAGAUUAGAGGAAGCCGAGAAGAUGUUUUACUCGAUGGAGGUCACUCUCCCUUCAUCUCCUUAGAAAGAGCUUGGUCUAGCGGUUUUGAUGGUGGUAGCUUUGUUAACAUGUUAUACGUACUAUGCUUCUCCUCUUGCUGUGGUUAUCUUACAAAUUGUGUUCUGGAGUCGACAGACAUCACCCUUUCCACCGUUAUGUCCAUUAAAAUUAUUUUUCAUUUAUAUCUCAAA
Long non-coding RNA from Glycine soja, 1969 nucleotides. RefSeq lists it as uncharacterized. The transcript has 5 exons. Lineage: Eukaryota; Viridiplantae; Streptophyta; Magnoliopsida; Fabales; Fabaceae. The record is from RefSeq and is a predicted model, not a curated record.